Molecule: ribosomal RNA, 2923 nt
Filed under: Klebsiella pneumoniae
Lineage: Bacteria; Pseudomonadati; Pseudomonadota; Gammaproteobacteria; Enterobacterales; Enterobacteriaceae
Description: bacterial LSU rRNA
Rfam family: Bacterial large subunit ribosomal RNA
Source: RNAcentral
GGGUUGUGAGGUUAAGCGACUAAGCGUACACGGUGGAUGCCCUGGCAGUCAGAGGCGAUGAAGGACGUGCUAAUCUGCGAAAAGCGUCGGUAAGGUGAUAUGAACCGUUAUAACCGGCGAUGUCCGAAUGGGGAAACCCAGUGCAAUUCGUUGCACUAUCGUUAACUGAAUACAUAGGUUAACGAGGCGAACCGGGGGAACUGAAACAUCUAAGUACCCCGAGGAAAAGAAAUCAACCGAGAUUCCCCCAGUAGCGGCGAGCGAACGGGGAGCAGCCCAGAGUCUGAAUCAGCUUGUGUGUUAGUGGAACGGUCUGGAAAGUCCGACGGUACAGGGUGAUAGUCCCGUACACCAAAAUGCACAGGUUGUGAACUCGAAGAGUAGGGCGGGACACGUGGUAUCCUGUCUGAAUAUGGGGGGACCAUCCUCCAAGGCUAAAUACUCCUGACUGACCGAUAGUGAACCAGUACCGUGAGGGAAAGGCGAAAAGAACCCCGGCGAGGGGAGUGAAAAAGAACCUGAAACCGUGUACGUACAAGCAGUGGGAGCACCUUCGGGUGUGACUGCGUACCUUUUGUAUAAUGGGUCAGCGACUUAUAUUCUGUAGCAAGGUUAACCGUAUAGGGGAGCCGCAGGGAAACCGAGUCUUAACUGGGCGUUAAGUUGCAGGGUAUAGACCCGAAACCCGGUGAUCUAGCCAUGGGCAGGUUGAAGGUUGGGUAACACUAACUGGAGGACCGAACCGACUAAUGUUGAAAAAUUAGCGGAUGACUUGUGGCUGGGGGUGAAAGGCCAAUCAAACCGGGAGAUAGCUGGUUCUCCCCGAAAGCUAUUUAGGUAGCGCCUCGUGAACUCAUCUUCGGGGGUAGAGCACUGUUUCGGCUAGGGGGUCAUCCCGACUUACCAACCCGAUGCAAACUACGAAUACCGAAGAAUGUUAUCACGGGAGACACACGGCGGGUGCUAACGUCCGUCGUGAAGAGGGAAACAACCCAGACCGCCAGCUAAGGUCCCAAAGUCAUGGUUAAGUGGGAAACGAUGUGGGAAGGCACAGACAGCCAGGAUGUUGGCUUAGAAGCAGCCAUCAUUUAAAGAAAGCGUAAUAGCUCACUGGUCGAGUCGGCCUGCGCGGAAGAUGUAACGGGGCUAAACCAUGCACCGAAGCUGCGGCAGCGACACUAUGUGUUGUUGGGUAGGGGAGCGUUCUGUAAGCCUGCGAAGGUGACCUGUGAGGGUUGCUGGAGGUAUCAGAAGUGCGAAUGCUGACAUAAGUAACGAUAAAGCGGGUGAAAAGCCCGCUCGCCGGAAGACCAAGGGUUCCUGUCCAACGUUAAUCGGGGCAGGGUGAGUCGACCCCUAAGGCGAGGCCGAAAGGCGUAGUCGAUGGGAAACAGGUUAAUAUUCCUGUACUUGGUGUUACUGCGAAGGGGGGACGGAGAAGGCUAUGUUAGCCGGGCGACGGUUGUCCCGGUUUAAGCAUGUAGGCUGAUUGUCCAGGCAAAUCCGGAUAAUCAAGGCUGAGGUGUGAUGACGAGGCACUACGGUGCUGAAGUAACAAAUGCCCUGCUUCCAGGAAAAGCCUCUAAGCAUCAGGUAACAUCAAAUCGUACCCCAAACCGACACAGGUGGUCAGGUAGAGAAUACCAAGGCGCUUGAGAGAACUCGGGUGAAGGAACUAGGCAAAAUGGUGCCGUAACUUCGGGAGAAGGCACGCUGGUGUGUAGGUGAAGUCCCUGCGGAUGGAGCUGAGACCAGUCGAAGAUACCAGCUGGCUGCAACUGUUUAUUAAAAACACAGCACUGUGCAAACACGAAAGUGGACGUAUACGGUGUGACGCCUGCCCGGUGCCGGAAGGUUAAUUGAUGGGGUUAUCCGUAAGGAGAAGCUCUUGAUCGAAGCCCCGGUAAACGGCGGCCGUAACUAUAACGGUCCUAAGGUAGCGAAAUUCCUUGUCGGGUAAGUUCCGACCUGCACGAAUGGCGUAAUGAUGGCCAGGCUGUCUCCACCCGAGACUCAGUGAAAUUGAACUCGCUGUGAAGAUGCAGUGUACCCGCGGCAAGACGGAAAGACCCCGUGAACCUUUACUAUAGCUUGACACUGAACAUUGAGCCUUGAUGUGUAGGAUAGGUGGGAGGCUUUGAAGCGUGGACGCCAGUCUGCGUGGAGCCAACCUUGAAAUACCACCCUUUAAUGUUUGAUGUUCUAACGUUGGCCCCUGACCGGGGUUGCGGACAGUGUCUGGUGGGUAGUUUGACUGGGGCGGUCUCCUCCCAAAGCGUAACGGAGGAGCACGAAGGUUAGCUAAUCCUGGUCGGACAUCAGGAGGUUAGUGCAAUGGCAUAAGCUAGCUUGACUGCGAGCGUGACGGCGCGAGCAGGUGCGAAAGCAGGUCAUAGUGAUCCGGUGGUUCUGAAUGGAAGGGCCAUCGCUCAACGGAUAAAAGGUACUCCGGGGAUAACAGGCUGAUACCGCCCAAGAGUUCAUAUCGACGGCGGUGUUUGGCACCUCGAUGUCGGCUCAUCACAUCCUGGGGCUGAAGUAGGUCCCAAGGGUAUGGCUGUUCGCCAUUUAAAGUGGUACGCGAGCUGGGUUUAGAACGUCGUGAGACAGUUCGGUCCCUAUCUGCCGUGGGCGCUGGAGAAUUGAGGGGGGCUGCUCCUAGUACGAGAGGACCGGAGUGGACGCAUCACUGGUGUUCGGGUUGUCAUGCCAAUGGCACUGCCCGGUAGCUAAAUGCGGAAGAGAUAAGUGCUGAAAGCAUCUAAGCACGAAACUUGCCCCGAGAUGAGUUCUCCCUGAGACUUUAAGUCUCCUGAAGGAACGUUGAAGACGACGACGUUGAUAGGCCGGGUGUGUAAGCGCAGCGAUGCGUUGAGCUAACCGGUACUAAUGAACCGUGAGGCUUAACCUUACAACGCCGAAG